UGCCCCAUGGCUGAGUUGGUUACAGCGUCCGACUGUUAUGAAGCAAUCGGAAGGUCGUGAGUUCGAGCCUCACUGGGGCAG
Molecule: transfer RNA, 81 nt
Filed under: Peniophora sp. CONT
Lineage: Eukaryota; Fungi; Basidiomycota; Agaricomycetes; Russulales; Peniophoraceae
Description: tRNA-Asn
Rfam family: tRNA
About the family: Transfer RNA (tRNA) molecules are approximately 80 nucleotides in length. Their secondary structure includes four short double-helical elements and three loops (D, anti-codon, and T loops). Further hydrogen bonds mediate the characteristic L-shaped molecular structure. tRNAs have two regions of fundamental functional importance: the anti-codon, which is responsible for specific mRNA codon recognition, and the 3' end, to which the tRNAs corresponding amino acid is attached (by aminoacyl-tRNA synthetases). tRNAs cope with the degeneracy of the genetic code in two manners: having more than one tRNA (with a specific anti-codon) for a particular amino acid; and 'wobble' base-pairing, i.e. permitting non-standard base-pairing at the 3rd anti-codon position.
Source: RNAcentral